GAUGAAGAACGCAGUGAAAUGUGAUAAUUAAUGUGAAUUGCAGAAUUCAGUGAAUCAUCGAGUCUUUGAACGCACAUUGCGCCCCCUGGUAUUCCGGGGGGCAUGCCUGUCCGAGCGUCAUUGCUGCCCUCAAGCACGGCUUGUGUGUUGGGCUUCCGUCCCUGGCAACGGGGACGGGCCCAAAAGGCAGUGGCGGCACCAUGUCUGGUCCUCGAGCGUAUGGGGCUUUGUCACCCGCUCCCGUAGGUCCAGCUGGCAGCUAGCCUCGCAACCAAUCUUUUUAACCAGGUUGACCUCGGAUCAGGUAGGGAUACCCGCUGAACUUAAGCAUAUCAAUAAGCGGAGGA
RNAcentral lists this unclassified non-coding RNA (347 nucleotides) under soil metagenome. RNAcentral's name for it is "partial contains 5.8S ribosomal RNA, internal transcribed spacer 2, and large subunit ribosomal RNA". The stretch from base 1 to 120 matches the Rfam family "5.8S ribosomal RNA", at positions 35 to 154 of the family's 154-position model. The record is from RNAcentral.